CAGUUGGAUAUCCAAAGAUGUUUUAUCAUCAGUAACAGGCCAACCUCCCGAAGAUGCAUAAAGACACCUUUGCCGUUGACCAGGCAGACCCUGCAUCCACAGGACAUAGAGAGAAAGGUGCUCCCUGAACACUGAUCUGGAUAAGCAUUGCUGGGUCAGUGCAGAGGCGUCCAUUUCCCCAGUCUGCCGAGCUGGCCUAAAGCUGAGGACCUCUUAGUGGGAGCUGAGGACAUGUGCCUGAAGAGGCAAGCCCUUGACUGAUGGAAAUUGGAGUCUGAGUUCCAUGUGGGGGACUGGGAAGCACAGCAAGGUCUGAAAUGGGAGACCCAGGGAAGGGCAGAGAGGACCAAAGGAGGAAGGGGGUCUACAGUGUGGGAAACAGCCUGGACGCAACAGCCGGGGGAGGAGGCCUGCUCUGGCCCCAGUGGCCCCUUGUAAGCAGGAAAGGCAGCUGGCUAGACCUCUUCUGUGUUAUUCACUCUGAUUUUAUCCUUUAUCUUCCCCUCCCAACCUCACCUCCUUUCUAACCCCA
This 532-nucleotide long non-coding RNA is filed under the name Homo sapiens (human). RNAcentral describes it as "non-protein coding LINC01792:7". Lineage: Eukaryota; Metazoa; Chordata; Mammalia; Primates; Hominidae. The record is from RNAcentral.